AUUAUUUAAGAGCUUAACAUUGUAAGUAAAUAAAAAUUAUGAAAGCAAAAAAUUAUGGCGGUAUUUUAAGCUUUUCAGAGGAAUUUGCUCUUUAAUGGAUAAAACGCCAAAAUCUUACUUAAAUUUGUUAGUUCAAUUUGUAUACCACUAUAAAAACAAUUUAUAACUUUAAUUGUUUAAAUUUAUUAAAUUAAAAUAUAUUAAGUCAAGGUGCAGUAAAAAUUUAAGAAUGAAGUGAAUUACAUUACUUUUUAGUGAAAAAAAAAAAUUAUAAUAACACUU
This 282-nucleotide ribosomal RNA is filed under the name Rhipicephalus sanguineus (brown dog tick). RNAcentral describes it as "partial small subunit ribosomal RNA". Lineage: Eukaryota; Metazoa; Arthropoda; Arachnida; Ixodida; Ixodidae. The record is from RNAcentral.